CAGAGGGUGGAUUGUUCAGGAAGUCUUCCUGGGGGUAAAAGUGGGUAGGAGCCAGUAAGAUUUAUUAUUGAAUUAUGGUUUUAACUAAUAAUAUUUCUCCGAGAAUAUCUCUAAAACAUAAUUUUCAAGGAAAAUGCAGUGUCAUAUUUCUUCAAUAGCCAUUAUCCUCGGAAGAUUAGCCCUGAGCUAACAUCUGUGCCCAUCUUCCUCUGCUUUAUAUGUGGGACGCCUACCACAGCAUGGCUUGCCACGUGGUGCCACGUCUGCACCUGGGAUGUGAACUGGCGAACCCCAGGCCACUGCAGCAGAACAUGUGCACUUAACCACUGCGCAACCGGGCCAGCCCCACCAAACGUUUUUUGAUGAAAAUCAUGUAAAAUAGAACUUAUCAGAAUUGUUUGUAGGGCACAGACCUUUGUAGGGCAGUACUACAAACAGUGAGUGUAUAAGUAGACAGUGCUGCACAUUCACACAGCCCUGCUGUCAGUGAUAAACACACUCGACCACACUUGAGGACAGACUGAAUUAUUAUUCCAUUAUAUGUAGAGAAAAUGAUACUGGAACAUCAUCGUCACCUGAAAGGCUCUCAAAGGGUAUACUACCAAAAAUAUGAGAAAAAAGUAUUGUAGAGGUAUUCCAGGCAGUUAAUGGAAAAAUAUAUGGUUAUUCCAGACCUUGUGAUCUUUGUAAUAUUAGUCAACCUUUUAAAAUUGGCAAUUUGCAUGGUUUAUUUUUUCAUUCACUUUUGUAUCUGAUUUUUAUUCUUAAUUUUAAAUCAUUUUUCUUUAAAGAGGACCCCCAAAGUUGUAAAAAUCUUCAGAUACCUCAGAACCUGGAUUUGUCCCUGAGCGCCAACUCUGUGUCAGAUGCGUGCUCUUUCUUAGAGAUACAAUGAUGCUUCAGACCAAGUACUUUUCCUCAGGGAAACAGAUGAGCAAAGCGAGUAUGACAGGGGAAAUCUUUCUAGGGGCACAUAUACAAGAUGGCCCCCCAUUUUUGUCUAGAAGUUUCCAAGAAGGCUCAUAGAGGAGAUAACUGUCAGUUUGCUCUUCCUCUCCAUCUCUUGUGACCACCGUGACUUCCACAAAAAGACUGUAAUUCAGUAGCUUAUUUGAUAUGUGAGAAAACCUGAAGUUCAUCACACUGUAACUCCCAAAGCAUAAGCACUAUGCUCCUCAGAAGUAUGAGAACAGACUCAAAGUGCUGAUCCCCCAAGCAUUUCAACAAGGAUGCAAGUGUAGUUUAGAAAAUGCUAAGCUUUUUGUUCUGAAAAGUCCACCAGAGGGAUGAACUUCUGUAUAUAUCCUAGAGCACCGUACUUACUAUGUGGCAGGUGGCCCAGGAAUAUUAAGACAGCUGUCAACAUCAAGGAAAGCAUCAGCCCAUGAAAAGCAAGCAGAUGGAUUGGGGCACUUCACUAGCUGCCUCCUAGAAUAAUAGCUGUGUGAGGCCAAAUGAGGUAUUGUCAGGCUGCCCAGGGCAGCAAAAAGCUAUUACUGGAUAUAAGCGCUCAAGUAGGAGAGGGGGCGGGGAAUAUCCUCCCCUUUCCUUUGUUUGUAUAGCUCAAGUUUUCACUAAGAACCACAAUGGUAAAUAAGAAAGGGGGUAAAAAUGAUGUAAGCA
This is a long non-coding RNA of Equus asinus (donkey), 1623 nucleotides long. The record is from Ensembl. NCBI's taxonomy places the organism in Eukaryota, Metazoa, Chordata, Mammalia, Perissodactyla, Equidae.